AUGAACGCUGGCGGCGUGCCUAAUACAUGCAUGUCGAGCGAACGGACGAGAAGCUUGCUUCUCUGAUGUUAGCGGCGGACGGGUGAGUAACACGUGGAUAACCUACCUAUAAGACUGGGAUAACUUCGGGAAACCGGAGCUAAUACCGGAUAAUAUUUUGAACCGCAUGGUUCAAAAGUGAAAGACGGUCUUGCUGUCACUUAUAGAUGGAUCCGCGCUGCAUUAGCUAGUUGGUAAGGUAACGGCUUACCAAGGCAACGAUGCAUAGCCGACCUGAGAGGGUGAUCGGCCACACUGGAACUGAGACACGGUCCAGACUCCUACGGGAGGCAGCAGUAGGGAAUCUUCCGCAAUGGGCGAAAGCCUGACGGAGCAACGCCGCGUGAGUGAUGAAGGUCUUCGGAUCGUAAAACUCUGUUAUUAGGGAAGAACAUAUGUGUAAGUAACUGUGCACAUCUUGACGGUACCUAAUCAGAAAGCCACGGCUAACUACGUG
Molecule: ribosomal RNA, 496 nt
Filed under: uncultured bacterium
Lineage: Bacteria
Description: partial 16S ribosomal RNA
Rfam family: Bacterial small subunit ribosomal RNA
Source: RNAcentral